Molecule: ribosomal RNA, 392 nt
Filed under: uncultured delta proteobacterium
Lineage: Bacteria; Deltaproteobacteria
Description: bacterial SSU rRNA
Rfam family: Bacterial small subunit ribosomal RNA
Source: RNAcentral
GCCCUCGACUUAAUCGAGGAAGUGCAUUGGAUACUGCCGAACUGGAGUGCAGGAGAGGUGAGCGGAAUUCCCGAUGUAGAGGUGAAAUUCGUAGAUAUCUGGAGGAACAACGGAGGCGAAGGCGGCUCACUGGACUGUUACUGACGCUGAGGCGCGAAAGCGUGGGGAGCAAACAGGAUUAGAUACCCUGGUAGUCCACGCUGUAAACGAUGGAUACUAGAUGUCGGGGACUCUUGCCUCCUCGGUGUCGUAGUUAACGCGUUAAGUAUCCCGCCUGGGGACUACGGCCGCAAGGCUAAAACUCAAAGAAAUUGACGGGGGCCCGCACAAGCGGUGGAGUAUGUGGUUUAAUUCGAGGCAACGCGAAGAACCUUACCUGGGCUUGACAUCCC